CCUUCGAUAGCUCAGUUGGUAGAGCGGUGGACUGUAGUGUGUCGUUGUCAUUGUGUAGUUUCAUGGAGUGUUGGUUCCAAGCAAUUAGCGGGCCGUAAAUACCAGCGUGCUUACGCAGUUGGCAUUGGCCUUCGCUUCGGCUAUGCAAGCACCAAUAUCAGUCGAUAUCCAUAGGUCGCUGGUUCAAAUCCGGCUCGAAGGA
RNAcentral lists this transfer RNA (202 nucleotides) under Musca domestica (house fly). It matches the Rfam family "tRNA". From Rfam's summary of the family: Transfer RNA (tRNA) molecules are approximately 80 nucleotides in length. Their secondary structure includes four short double-helical elements and three loops (D, anti-codon, and T loops). Further hydrogen bonds mediate the characteristic L-shaped molecular structure. tRNAs have two regions of fundamental functional importance: the anti-codon, which is responsible for specific mRNA codon recognition, and the 3' end, to which the tRNAs corresponding amino acid is attached (by aminoacyl-tRNA synthetases). tRNAs cope with the degeneracy of the genetic code in two manners: having more than one tRNA (with a specific anti-codon) for a particular amino acid; and 'wobble' base-pairing, i.e. permitting non-standard base-pairing at the 3rd anti-codon position. Lineage: Eukaryota; Metazoa; Arthropoda; Insecta; Diptera; Muscidae. The record is from Rfam by way of RNAcentral.